Molecule: ribosomal RNA, 491 nt
Filed under: uncultured bacterium
Lineage: Bacteria
Description: partial 16S ribosomal RNA
Rfam family: Bacterial small subunit ribosomal RNA
Source: RNAcentral
GAUGAACGCUAGCUACAGGCUUAACACAUGCAAGUCGAGGGGAAACGAUGAGAUAGCUUGCUACCUUAGUCGUCGACCGGCGCACGGGUGAGUAACGCGUAUCCAACCUGCCUCUGACCAAGGGAUAACACUUCGACAGUCGGACUAAUACCUUAUGCAGUCGUCGGAAGUCAUCUGAUGACGAUGAAAGAUUUCAUCGGUGAGAGAUGGGGAUGCGUCUGAUUAGCUUGUUGGCGGGGUAACGGCCCACCAAGGCGACGAUCAGUAGGGGUUCUGAGAGGAAGGUCCCCAACAGUGGAACGGAGACACUGGCCAAACGCUUACGGGCGGAAGCAGUGAGGAAGAAUGGUCAAUGAGUGUAAGACUGAAGCAGCCAAGUAGCGGGCAGGACGACGGGCGGAUGGGUUGUAAACUGCUUUUAUGAGGGGAUAAAGUGAGGGACGUAUCCUUCAGUGAAGGUACCGAAUGAAGAAGGACCGGCUAAUUACGUG